RNAcentral lists this ribosomal RNA (253 nucleotides) under uncultured bacterium. RNAcentral's name for it is "partial 16S ribosomal RNA". It matches the Rfam family "Bacterial small subunit ribosomal RNA", at positions 524 to 776 of the family's 1533-position model. The record is from RNAcentral.
UACGAAGGGGGCUAGCGUUGCUCGGAAUCACUGGGCGUAAAGGGUGCGUAGGCGGGUCUUUAAGUCAGGGGUGAAAUCCUGGAGCUCAACUCCAGAACUGCCCUUGAUACUGAGGAUCUUGAGUUCGGGAGAGAUGAGUGGAACUGCGAGUGUAGAGGUGAAAUUCGUAGAUAUUCGCAAGAACACCAGUGGCGAAGGCGGCUCACUGGCCCGAUACUGACGCUGAGGCGCGAAAGCGUGGGGAGCAAACAGG